UCCCUGGUGGUCCAGUGGUUAGGUCUCUGCACUGGUACUGCUGAGGGCCCAGGUUCAACCCCUGGUCUGGGAA
This is a non-coding RNA of Orcinus orca (killer whale), 73 nucleotides long. NCBI's taxonomy places the organism in Eukaryota, Metazoa, Chordata, Mammalia, Artiodactyla, Delphinidae. The record is from the annotation of a RefSeq genome assembly.